UAUGGAGAGUUACCAGCACUUGAUCAGACCGUUGAGAGAAGGAUAAGGCCGCGGCUUGACAGGCUGUAUGCAGCUGGAAAGGGAAAGCAACCUUAUCCAUUCUACCCACACAUGUGGAGUCUCCCAUUGGCUUAGUUUGAAUUAGGCGCCUAUCUCUUCCUUGACUUCACAUGCUUUGCUUACUUUACCUUUGAGGAAAACCUAUGUAUCUUCUCCUAUAUAUUGUAAUCUCUUCAUUAAUGAUAAUUAGACAGUUCUUGACACAAAAACACUUUCUUAGACUCAAAGACUCUCAAUCAUGAUUCUACACUAAACUCUUAGCUAAACUCAUUCUAAAUCAUCUCUAAACUUCUCUAAUCCCUUUCUUUUCUUAUAUCAAACUCAGAUUCUCUAAAGUUCAUAACUCUUGGGUUGUUGGAUAUUACACACCAACAAGAACACUCAACAACUCGCGAACAAGCAGUAGAGAGAACAAAGAAAGGUUUAUGAUAAAAGAUAAUUGAUUAUUGAUAAGGGGUUCAAAGUACACUUAUAUAAGAGAAGUUGGAACAGACUCCAAGCUUCUCGAAAACUAUCAAGAGAGUAAAGGCACACGGCUCUCUUGGAAAUAGAAACAAGUGACAAGUUUGAAAACAAAAGCAUGAAAUGAAAAACAUAAUAUAUCAUAAGGUUGAUCCGGGAUAAGGUUGGAUCGAGAUCAUCAACUAAAAG
This 711-nucleotide long non-coding RNA is filed under the name Brassica napus (rape). Its description in RNAcentral is "long non-coding RNA (BNAP_LNC015235)". The record is from RNAcentral. Lineage: Eukaryota; Viridiplantae; Streptophyta; Magnoliopsida; Brassicales; Brassicaceae.